Oreochromis aureus is the source of this 818-nucleotide long non-coding RNA. RefSeq lists it as uncharacterized. The transcript has 3 exons. NCBI's taxonomy places the organism in Eukaryota, Metazoa, Chordata, Actinopteri, Cichliformes, Cichlidae. The record is from RefSeq and is a predicted model, not a curated record.
CUGACGAGCGGCUGUGAACAAUGGUUGUGUGAGUAGGUGAAGAGCCUGAGAAGUUUUAAUUGUCUGCUACACAAACAGUUGUUUUAAACCUCUACAGCAGAGGUUCGAGUAGUGAUUUUUAGAAGACAAGCCAAGAUAAGCCAGGUGUGCAGCAAACACAGUUGUCUGCUGGAGGACAGGCUGCACAUGUGAAUUUGUCACUGUUUUUUCCUCCUCCUCUUUUUGUUGCGUUUUUGGUUUUAGUAGGGUCACCUUUUAAAACUGUUUGUUUUUUAUGCUGGGUUUGUUUUUAUUUCUACUGGGCUGGUGCAAUAUUAGUCGGACAACGUGCAAUCCCUGAGCUGGGCUCUUACCUUAGGGGAAUUAGGUCUUUUAGAGGUGCUCCGUGUGGAUUUGCUGUGAACAAGUUUUAUUAAGAGUGAUUUUAGUGCCACCGAUUAUUGCCUGGACUAAAACACUUAGUGCAUGCGAUAAGUGUUCUGUUGGGCUCGUAUUUAUUUGGGGUGGAUUUCUUUCUUUUAAAGUAACGAGCAUCUGGGACCACCGGGGUAGAGCAAGCCCUCAGGUGAUAGCUGCAUUGCUGGCAGGUUGCACCAAUAAAACUAUACUGCAGUCGUUAGUGACUUUUUCUCUAUUUUGAUGUUUUAGGCCUUUUACAAACCCCUUGUGUUUUCUUUUAAAAUAAUAAAUUUUGACAUAUUUGACUGAUAUUGACCCUCUUGUCCCGUUUAUUCUGGGCUCGUUCCUGUAAGAGCUUUGGGCCUGAAAGUUUGCACAAGUCGUAUAGAGGCCCUUAGCGAACACUCGGUGGCUUUUAC